RNAcentral lists this ribosomal RNA (253 nucleotides) under uncultured bacterium. RNAcentral describes it as "partial 16S ribosomal RNA". It matches the Rfam family "Bacterial small subunit ribosomal RNA", at positions 524 to 776 of the family's 1533-position model. The record is from RNAcentral.
UACGGGGGGUGCAAGCGUUACUCGGAAUCACUGGGCGUAAAGAGCAUGUAGGCCGGUUGAUAAGUUGGAAGUGAAAUCCUAUGGCUUAACCAUAGAACUGCUUCCAAAACUGUCAACCUAGAGUAUGGGAGAGGUAGAUGGAAUUUCUGGUGUAGGGGUAAAAUCCGUAGAGAUCAGAAGGAAUACCGAUUGCGAAGGCGAUCUACUGGAACAUUACUGACGCUGAGAUGCGAAAGCGUGGGGAGCAAACAGG